This 301-nucleotide ribosomal RNA is filed under the name uncultured bacterium. RNAcentral's name for it is "partial 16S ribosomal RNA". It matches the Rfam family "Bacterial small subunit ribosomal RNA", at positions 509 to 808 of the family's 1533-position model. The record is from RNAcentral.
CAGCCGCCGCGGUAAGACGAACCGUGCAAACGUUACUCGGAAUCACUGGGCUUAAAGCGCACGUAGGCGGCGACAUAAGUUAGAGGUGAAAUCCCAUCGGCUCAACCGUGGAACUGCCUCUAAUACUGUGUUGCUUGAGGGAGAACGGGGCAUUCGGAACUUCCGGUGGAGCGGUGAAAUGUGUUGAUAUCGGAAGGAACGCCGGUGGCGAAAGCGGAAUGCUGGGUCUCUUCUGACGCUGAGGUGCGAAAGCUAGGGUAGCGAACGGGAUUAGAGACCCCAGUAGUCCCUGUCUCUUAUA